AAUGGGUCAGCGACUUAUAUUCUGUAGCAAGGUUAACCGAAUAGGGGAGCCGAAGGGAAACCGAGUCUUAACUGGGCGUUAAGUUGCAGGGUAUAGACCCGAAACCCGGUGAUCUAGCCAUGGGCAGGUUGAAGGUUGGGUAACACUAACUGGAGGACCGAACCGACUAAUGUUGAAAAAUUAGCGGAUGACUUGUGGCUGGGGGUGAAAGGCCAAUCAAACCGGGAGAUAGCUGGUUCUCCCCGAAAGCUAUUUAGGUAGCGCCUCGUGAAUUCAUCUCCGGGGGUAGAGCACUGUUUCGGCAAGGGGGUCAUCCCGACUUACCAACCCGAUGCAAACUGCGAAUACCGGAGAAUGUUAUCACGGGAGACACACGGCGGGUGCUAACGUCCGUCGUGAAGAGGGAAACAACCCAGACCGCCAGCUAAGGUCCCAAAGUCAUGGUUAAGUGGGAAACGAUGUGGGAAGGCCCAGACAGCCAGGAUGUUGGCUUAGAAGCAGCCAUCAUUUAAAGAAAGCGUAAUAGCUCACUGGUCGAGUCGGCCUGCGCGGAAGAUGUAACGGGGCUAAACCAUGCACCGAAGCUGCGGCAGCGACACUAUGUGUUGUUGGGUAGGGGAGCGUUCUGUAAGCCUGUGAAGGUGUACUGUGAGGUAUGCUGGAGGUAUCAGAAGUGCGAA
This 680-nucleotide ribosomal RNA is filed under the name Escherichia coli. RNAcentral describes it as "partial 23S ribosomal RNA". It matches the Rfam family "Bacterial large subunit ribosomal RNA", at positions 614 to 1294 of the family's 2925-position model. Lineage: Bacteria; Pseudomonadati; Pseudomonadota; Gammaproteobacteria; Enterobacterales; Enterobacteriaceae. The record is from RNAcentral.